UACCAGCACCCCGAGUGGUCGGGACGAUUAUUGGGCCUAAAGCAUCCGUAGCCGGUUCUACAAGUCUUCCGUUAAAUCCACCUGCUUAACAGUUGGGCUGCGGGGGAUACUACAGCGCUAGGAGGCGGGAGAGGCAAGCGGUACUCAAUGGGUAGGGGUAAAAUCCGCUGAUCCAUUGAAGACCACCAGUGGCGAAGGCGGCUUGCCAGAACGCGCUCGACGGUGAGGGAUGAAAGCUGGGGGAGCAAACCGG
This 253-nucleotide ribosomal RNA is filed under the name uncultured bacterium. RNAcentral describes it as "partial 16S ribosomal RNA". It matches the Rfam family "Archaeal small subunit ribosomal RNA", at positions 474 to 727 of the family's 1478-position model. The record is from RNAcentral.